Molecule: transfer RNA, 90 nt
Filed under: Nitrospirota bacterium
Lineage: Bacteria; Pseudomonadati; Nitrospirota
Description: Nitrospirae bacterium (hydrothermal vent metagenome) tRNA-Ser
Rfam family: tRNA
About the family: Transfer RNA (tRNA) molecules are approximately 80 nucleotides in length. Their secondary structure includes four short double-helical elements and three loops (D, anti-codon, and T loops). Further hydrogen bonds mediate the characteristic L-shaped molecular structure. tRNAs have two regions of fundamental functional importance: the anti-codon, which is responsible for specific mRNA codon recognition, and the 3' end, to which the tRNAs corresponding amino acid is attached (by aminoacyl-tRNA synthetases). tRNAs cope with the degeneracy of the genetic code in two manners: having more than one tRNA (with a specific anti-codon) for a particular amino acid; and 'wobble' base-pairing, i.e. permitting non-standard base-pairing at the 3rd anti-codon position.
Source: RNAcentral
GGAGAGGUGGCCGAGUGGUUGAAGGCGGCGGUCUCGAAAACCGCUGUGGGGGCAACCCCACCGUGGGUUCGAAUCCCACCCUCUCCGCCA